Molecule: ribosomal RNA, 496 nt
Filed under: uncultured bacterium
Lineage: Bacteria
Description: partial 16S ribosomal RNA
Rfam family: Bacterial small subunit ribosomal RNA
Source: RNAcentral
GAUGAACGCUGGCGGCGUGCCUAAUACAUGCCAGUCGAGCGAACGGACGAGAAGCUUGCUUCUCUGAUGUUAGCGGCGGACGGGUGAGUAACACGUGGAUAACCUACCUAUAAGACUGGGAUAACUUCGGGAAACCGUAGCUAAUACCGGAUAAUAUUUUGAACCGCAUGGUUCAAAAGUGAAAGACGGUCUUGCUGUCACUUAUAGAUGGAUCCGCGCUGCAUUAGCUAGUUGGUAAGGUAACGGCUUACCAAGGCAACGAUGCAUAGCCGACCUGAUAGGGUGAUCGGCCACACGGGAACUGAGACACGGUCCAGACUCCUACGGGAGGCAGCAGUAGGGAAUCUUCCGCAAUGGGCGAAAGCCUGACGGAGCAACGCCGCGUGAGUGAUGAAGGUCUUCGGAUCGUAAAACUCUGUUAUUAGGGAAGAACAUAUGUGUAAGUAACUGUGCACAUCUUGACGGUACCUAAUCAGAAAGCCACGGCGAACUACGU